Molecule: ribosomal RNA, 253 nt
Filed under: uncultured bacterium
Lineage: Bacteria
Description: partial 16S ribosomal RNA
Rfam family: Bacterial small subunit ribosomal RNA
Source: RNAcentral
GACGAACCGUACGAACGUUAUUCGGAAUUACUGGGCUUAAAGGGUGCGUAGGCUGCGCGGAAAGUUGGGUGUGAAAGCCCUCAGCUCAACUGAGGAAUUGCACUCAAAACUACCGUGCUCGAGGGAGACAGAGGUAAGCGGAACUCAAGGUGGAGCGGUGAAAUGCGUUGAUAUCUUGAGGAACACCGGUGGCGAAAGCGGCUUACUGGGUCUUUUCUGACGCUGAGGCACGAAAGCCAAGGUAGCAAACGGG